CCUACGGGAGGCAGCAGUGAGGAAUAUUGGUCAAUGGACGAGAGUCUGAACCAGCCAAGUAGCGUGAAGGAGGACUGCCCUAUGGGUUGUAAACUUCUUUUAUAUGGGAAUAAAAUGUUCCACGUGUGGGAUUAUGUAUGUACCACAUGAAUAAGGAUCGGCUAACUCCGUGCCAGCAGCCGCGGUAAUACGGAGGAUCCGAGCGUUAUCCGGAUUUAUUGGGUUUAAAGGGAGCGUAGGUGGAAUGUUAAGUCAGUUGUGAAAGGUUGCGGCUCAACCGUAAAAUUGCAGUUGAAACUGGCAGUCUAGAGUACAGUAGAGGUGAGCGGAAUUCGUGGUGUAGCGGUGAAAUGCUUAGAUAUCACGAGGAACUCCGAUUGCGAAGGCAGUUCACUGGUCUGCAACUGACGCUGAGGCUCGAAAGCAUGGGUAGCGAACAGGAUUAGAUACCCGAGUAGUC
Molecule: ribosomal RNA, 460 nt
Filed under: uncultured bacterium
Lineage: Bacteria
Description: partial 16S ribosomal RNA
Rfam family: Bacterial small subunit ribosomal RNA
Source: RNAcentral